Molecule: long non-coding RNA, 567 nt
Filed under: Homo sapiens (human)
Lineage: Eukaryota; Metazoa; Chordata; Mammalia; Primates; Hominidae
Description: non-protein coding lnc-C1QTNF5-5:9
Source: RNAcentral
ACUUGGCUCUCGCCCUCCGGCCGGGAAGCAUGGGGCUUCCCAGGCUGGUCUGCGCCUUCUUGCUCGCCGCCUGCUGCUGCUGUCCUCGCGUCGCGGGCUACUGCCUCCCAGGCUGACUUUAUUUCUGGGGAAAGGGCUAAAUCGGGCUCCACAGUUGCAGCCGGUCCAGCUCCACCCUGCCCUGCUCUUCUAGCUCUGGGAGGAGUCAGGGGUCUGAGGCUCUGGGUUGGAGACCCCACCUUCCACCUGCCCUCCUUGUCCGAGAGCCAAGGUGUGCCCGGAGAGGCUGAGCAGCCUGCGCCUGAGCUGGUGGAGGUGGAAGUGGGCAGCACAGCCCUUCUGAAGUGCGGCCUCUCCCAGUCCCAAGGCAACCUCAGCCAUGUCGACUGGUUUUCUGUCCACAAGGAGAAGCGGACGCUCAUCUUCCGUGUGCGCCAGGGCCAGGGCCAGAGCGAACCUGGGGAGUACGAGCAGCGGCUCAGCCUCCAGGACAGAGGGGCUACUCUGGCCCUGACUCAAGUCACCCCCCAAGACGAGCGCAUCUUCUUGUGCCAGGGCAAGCGCCCU